RNAcentral lists this ribosomal RNA (403 nucleotides) under uncultured bacterium. Its description in RNAcentral is "partial 16S ribosomal RNA". It matches the Rfam family "Bacterial small subunit ribosomal RNA", at positions 28 to 526 of the family's 1533-position model. The record is from RNAcentral.
GACGAACGCUGGCGGCGUGCCUAAUACAUGCAAGUCGAACGCAGUGGGGACGGGUGAGUAACACGUGGGUAACCUCCCAUCAGAGGGGAUAACACUUGGAAACAGGUGCACAACUGAUACUGAUGGAUGGACCCGGGGUGCAUUAGCUAGUUGGUGAGGUAGCGGCUCACCAAGGCCACGAUGCAUAGCCGGCCUGAGAGGGUGAUCGGCCACACUGGAACUGAGACACGGCCCAGACUCCGACGGGAGGCAGCAGUGGGGAAUAUUGGGCAAUGGACGAAAGCCUGACCGAGCAACGCCGCGUGUGUGAAGAAGGUUUUCGGAUUGUAAAACUCUGUUGUUAGAGAAGCGUUACCUAACCAGAAAGCCACGGCUAACUACGUGCCAGCAGCCGCGGUAAUAC